This 29-nucleotide non-coding RNA is filed under the name Rattus norvegicus (Norway rat). The record is from RNAcentral. Lineage: Eukaryota; Metazoa; Chordata; Mammalia; Rodentia; Muridae.
UUUCUGAAACCUACAUGGCUACGGAGGUC